ACAAUAGUUUGAAAACCAAAUUAUAUCAGAGAAGCUCACGUAAUUUUUUUUAUUGAAAUUAAAUCAAUGGAAAUCUUUAGAAGCUGUUCAGAAUAAUAUUGCUAUUAUACAUACAGCUGGACUUUGGAAUGUGGGUGUGUUCUAUAAUUCGCAACAGUCAAUGGUAUCUCAAAAUCAAUAAUGUGAAUAUUUCUAAGUGAGUUUUUAAUAAGAUCGAGAGUCCGAGAAUCCUUGCGAAGUGCUUUAGUAAUGUCGUAAAAAGUACAUCUGUAUCAACUAGUAGGAAUGUUAAUCACGAUUCAUUACGACUGCGGAAAACUUCUGUGUUUUGUUAGAAAUGCAUUCAAUGCUCUUCCUAAAGUUACAAAGUGUAGUUAGAAAUUUCAAAUUCUUAGUUUCAACCGGGUUUUUAUUAUUAUUAUUAGCACGCGCAGUUCAGUUGGUGAAACCUCGAAUAUGCGCCAUGCGUUUAUGGUCUACAAUUUUGUUUUCUAGUUAAUAGACGUGUCCACUACACGUUUUAUUACCAUAACGUCGGCUCUCCAGCAUGAUUAAGUACACAACUUUCCUACAUUGAAUUUUGUUUUUUUCUAAUAACUAAGUAAGACAAGCAAACUAAUUCAUGACAUCAAGUUAGUGGAUCAAAGACACACCAAUACCACCAACCAUCUUGAGACAUAAUAUUGAAGUUUCAAUUACAUUGGCCUAAUAGCCAUAAAAUAGCAAAAAAAACCAACAUUAAGAUGUAACGCACAAUUGCUUCAAGUCAGAAAUAGGCAGAAUAUGGUACUCAUGCAAUCCAGUACAUACCUCCUACCAAUGCUUAACAUAGCAACUAUGGAUCUUACUAAAGUGGGAAAUUUCACAAUUUCAUAAGGAAAUGCUGCCACUGAAAUUUUAUGAUUAAUAACUCUCACACCUUAACACAUCUAACUUUGAGGACAUGCCUUAUGAUAGCUUAGAAACAUACUUUUCAGAUGUAAUGAUCUAACUAGUUCAUUUAAGGAGCUGUUUGAAAGUUUCCCUACAUUAGCUCUCACACACCUACAUCUAUAAUAAUGAUGUCAUUAAACAAUGAGUACAUCCUUUUCCCUUGUCAAUUUUGUUACGACACUGAAAAGUUUACUCAUUUCCCAACAGAACUAAAUCUUUUUCUCUGUAUCUAUUAAGAAAAUAUUAUACUUUAUCAAAAUUAAAACCCAAUUUUCUAUUUAGAUGAAUUAAUUUGAAAUUUAGAGAAUAUUGUUGCAGUAUAAGUUUAUUUUUAUUUUUGUUUUUAUUGUUUAGAUGGAUAUACGAACUCACUGCCCACCCGGUGUUAGGUGGUUACCGGAGCCCAAAGACAUCUACAACGUUAAUGCCACCACCCACUUUGAGAUAUGAGUUCUAUGGUCUCAAGUACAGUGGUAAAUGUAAACUACUGCUUUAGUGAAAGAGUAAUCAAUAUUGAUUUGCUAAGUGUCUAUAUCUGAUUUCUGGUGAGUUUGUCAUGAGCUGUGAGUAUAAAAUCCUUACCAAAACCCUACUUAACAAGUGCGUGUACCAAGCCUUAGUUGCUGAAUUGUGGAGAACAGCUGUCAAGGCUAUAAUAAACAAGGAUGGAAGGACCACGACUGCUCUACCAAGAGUAACCAGCUAUGAUGUAAUAUAUAAUGCUUUUGAAAUUAUAAUCUAAAUGUAUCUAUGGAUUAAUUGAAGUAAAAUCCCGAAAGGAACCUUAAGCUUUGGAAAUAAAGUAAUCACCAUAACUAUGAGACCACCACAGAAACUAUGCUUUCUAAUUUAUUUAAAAUGGUUAUAGACUGAAUUUACAACUGACUAAAAGUUGAUGUUGAUUUCUGGCUCAACAGAUAAUUGUUAGUGCUCUCAAUGCUCAAUGUAACCGCUUACUACCGGCGGGACUUAGAUUCGUCUACUCUCGUGGGUGCUAUUAUUUCAAUAAUAAUGUGCAGCUCACUCUGUUUACCUGGGUCUUCUCGAACUGCUCACGUUCAGCAUCCAGACUGUUCUUUUUCAGCUGAAGCACACGGGGCAAGGAUAAAGACGCCAUAAGUUUGUCACAUUAACAAGUACAUACACCAACAAAAUAUUUUAGAAUUUCUCGUGUUCAGUGUAUUAAAAUUUAGCACACUAAUUUUACUGUUUAAAGUUACACUUAGUUAAAGUCUGUUUUUUUUUAAAUAGUUUCCCCUAAUUUAAACUGGUUGAAUGGUUAAGUUAAUUGUUUUUAGUAAAGUUUAAAAGUUAUUUAUUUAUUUAUGUUGGUAGGUACAGAAUUUAUUUUGAGAUUUAUUAACUUAAAUUACAUAUUUUACUCCAUGAUUUAUUCUUAACUCGCAGAUUAAUUAAAACACUACCUACUUAAAUUACUUUACUCUUUGAAAACUAUUUAGCACUGUUUAAUUUCUCGAUUUUGUGAGGAACAGAUACAACUCUCAAAUAU
This is a long non-coding RNA of Bombyx mori (domestic silkworm), 2443 nucleotides long. RefSeq lists it as uncharacterized. The transcript has 2 exons. NCBI's taxonomy places the organism in Eukaryota, Metazoa, Arthropoda, Insecta, Lepidoptera, Bombycidae. The record is from RefSeq and is a predicted model, not a curated record.